Molecule: ribosomal RNA, 253 nt
Filed under: uncultured bacterium
Lineage: Bacteria
Description: partial 16S ribosomal RNA
Rfam family: Bacterial small subunit ribosomal RNA
Source: RNAcentral
UACAGAGGGUGCAAGCGUUAAUCGGAAUUACUGGGCGUAAAGCGUGCGUAGACGGUUAUGUAAGUCAGAUAUGAAAGCCCCGGGCUCAACCUGGGAAUUGCAUUUGAGACUGCAUAGCUAGGGUGCGGAAGAGGGAAGCGGAAUUUCCGGUGUAGCGGUGAAAUGCGUAGAUAUCGGAAGGAACACCAGUGGCGAAAGCGGCUUCCUGGUCCAGCACCGACGUUCAGGCACGAAAGCGUGGGGAGCAAACAGG